CCUGGUGGCUCAGAGGGUAAAGCAUCUGCCUGCAAUGCAGGAAACCUGGGUUCGAUCCCUGGGUCGGGA
Molecule: transfer RNA, 69 nt
Filed under: Bos taurus (domestic cattle)
Lineage: Eukaryota; Metazoa; Chordata; Mammalia; Artiodactyla; Bovidae
Also listed under: 3 other names
Rfam family: tRNA
About the family: Transfer RNA (tRNA) molecules are approximately 80 nucleotides in length. Their secondary structure includes four short double-helical elements and three loops (D, anti-codon, and T loops).
Source: Rfam by way of RNAcentral